Molecule: ribosomal RNA, 676 nt
Filed under: Tetrapogon cenchriformis
Lineage: Eukaryota; Viridiplantae; Streptophyta; Magnoliopsida; Poales; Poaceae
Description: eukaryotic LSU rRNA
Rfam family: 5.8S ribosomal RNA (bases 251-406)
Source: RNAcentral
ACCUGCGGAAGGAUCAUUGUCGUGACCCUGAACAAAACAGACCGUGAACAUGUCAUCUAUUCUGCCGGUUGAUGGGACUUGCACCCGUCUAUCGGUCUAGGCCACCGACCUUCUUUCUGGAGGGACGGGGAGCCAAAAGAACCCACGGCGCCGUAUGGCGUCAAGGAAAACUACUAUUGCCUUGCCCGGGGCCACGAGCCGGCUUGCCGGACGCUCCCCGCGCAGCGAUGCUAUGGAAAUAUUUUCACAUGACUCUCGGCAACGGAUAUCUCGGCUCUUGCAUCGAUGAAGAACGUAGCAAAAUGCGAUACCUGGUGUGAAUUGCAGAAUCCCGUGAACCAUCGAGUUUUUGAACGCAAGUUGCGCCCGAGGCCUUUUGGCCGAGGGCACGUCUGCCUGGGCGUCACGCCAAAAGACACUCCACACCAAUCCCGGUCUGGACGUGGUGUUUGGCCCCUCAUCCCGCAUGGGUAUGGUGGGCCAAAGAUGUGGCUGCCGGCGGUGCCGAUCACAGCACAAGGUGGAUGACACAAGUUAUUCUCGGUGUUAUGAUCCGGACAAAGUGCCGGUCGUGUUAUGGCCCUUCUUGGACCCAUGGUUUGGAGCGCAUGUCGCUCGGACCGCGACCCCAGGUCAGUCGGGACUACCCGCUGAAUUUAAGCAUAUCAAUAAGCGG